GUGGGUGGAUUAGUGGCGAACGGGUGAGUAACACGUGAGUAACCUGCCCUUGACUCUGGGAUAAGCCUGGGAAACUGGGUCUAAUACCGGAUAUGACUGGCUAUCGCAUGGUGGUUGGUGGAAAGCAUUUGCGGUUUUGGAUGGACUCGCGGCCUAUCAGCUUGUUGGUGGGGUAAUGGCCUACCAAGGCGACGACGGGUAGCCGGCCUGAGAGGGUGACCGGCCACACUGGGACUGAGACACGGCCCAGACUCCUACGGGAGGCAGCAGUGGGGAAUAUUGCACAAUGGGCGGAAGCCUGAUGCAGCGACGCCGCGUGAGGGAUGACGGCCUUCGGGUUGUAAACCUCUUUCAGUAGGGAAGAAGCGUAAGUGACGGUACCUGCAGAAGAAGCGCCGGCUAACUACGUGCCAGCAGCCGCGGUAAUACGUAGGGCGCAAGCGUUAUCCGGAAUUAUUGGGCGUAAAGAGCUCGUAGGCGGUUUGUCGCGUCUGCCGUGAAAGUCCGGGGCUCAACUCCGGAUCUGCGGUGGGUACGGGCAGACUAGAGUGAUGUAGGGGAGACUGGAAUUCCUGGUGUAGCGGUGAAAUGCGCAGAUAUCAGGAGGAUCACCGAUGGCGAAGGCAGGUCUCUGGGCAUUAACUGACGCUGAGGAGCGAAAGC
This 663-nucleotide ribosomal RNA is filed under the name Arthrobacter sp. J36. Its description in RNAcentral is "bacterial SSU rRNA". It matches the Rfam family "Bacterial small subunit ribosomal RNA", at positions 83 to 760 of the family's 1533-position model. The record is from RNAcentral. RNAcentral also lists the same sequence under 2 other names. Lineage: Bacteria; Bacillati; Actinomycetota; Actinomycetes; Micrococcales; Micrococcaceae.